GACGAACCACCCAAACGUUAUUCGGAAUUACUGGGCUUAGAGCGUGCGUAGGCGGCCAUGUAAGUAGGGUGUGAAAUCCCACAGCUCAACUGUGGAACUGCGCUCUAAACUACAUGGCUAGAGGGAUAUAGAGGUGAGCGGAACUGAUGGUGGAGCGGUGAAAUGCGUUGAUAUCAUCAGGAACACCGGAGGCGAAGGCGGCUCACUGGGUAUCUUCUGACGCUGAGGUACGAAAGCUAGGGGAGCGAACGGG
RNAcentral lists this ribosomal RNA (253 nucleotides) under uncultured bacterium. Its description in RNAcentral is "partial 16S ribosomal RNA". It matches the Rfam family "Bacterial small subunit ribosomal RNA", at positions 524 to 776 of the family's 1533-position model. The record is from RNAcentral.